GAUGAAGAACGUAGCGAAAUGCGAUAAGUAGUGUGAAUUGCAGAAUUCAGUGAAUCAUCGAAUCUUUGAACGCACAUUGCGCCCUUUGGUAUUCCAAAGGGCAUGCCUGUUCGAGCGUCAUUUGUACCCUCAAGCUUUGCUUGGUGUUGGGCGUCUUGUCUCUAGCUUUGCUGGAGACUCGCCUUAAAGUAAUUGGCAGCCGGCCUACUGGUUUCGGAGCGCAGCACAAGUCACACUCUCUAUCAGCAAAGGUCUAGCAUCCACUAAGCCUUUUUUUCAACUUUUGACCUCGGAUCAGGUAGGGAUACCCGCUGAACUUAAGCAUAUCAAUAAGCGGAGGA
Molecule: unclassified non-coding RNA, 341 nt
Filed under: soil metagenome
Description: partial contains 5.8S ribosomal RNA, internal transcribed spacer 2, and large subunit ribosomal RNA
Rfam family: 5.8S ribosomal RNA (bases 1-120)
Source: RNAcentral